UACGUAGGUGGCAAGCGUUGUCCGGAUUUACUGGGCGUAAAGAGCUCGUAGGCGGUUUGUUGCGUCGGCCGUGAAAACCUGCAGCUUAACUGUGGGCCUGCGGCCGAUACGGGCAGACUUGAGUUCGGUAGGGGAGACUGGAAUUCCUGGUGUAGCGGUGAAAUGCGCAGAUAUCAGGAGGAACACCGGUGGCGAAGGCGGGUCUCUGGGCCGAUACUGACGCUGAGGAGCGAAAGCGUGGGGAGCGAACAGG
RNAcentral lists this ribosomal RNA (253 nucleotides) under uncultured bacterium. Its description in RNAcentral is "partial 16S ribosomal RNA". It matches the Rfam family "Bacterial small subunit ribosomal RNA", at positions 524 to 776 of the family's 1533-position model. The record is from RNAcentral.